Nerophis lumbriciformis (worm pipefish) is the source of this 263-nucleotide long non-coding RNA. RefSeq lists it as uncharacterized. The record is from RefSeq and is a predicted model, not a curated record. NCBI's taxonomy places the organism in Eukaryota, Metazoa, Chordata, Actinopteri, Syngnathiformes, Syngnathidae.
AUUUGUCCCUACACUUUCCCUCCUGCAUGUCCUUUGCACUCUGAGAAACACGACUUUCGGCAACACAACCAGUUUGUGACAACAUUAAGAGAUUCUGUCAUAUCGGGGUCGCAUGGUUUUGCAAAGGUCGUUUCCCCAAGAUGCAGAAGGACGUCAGGAAGCGGCGUGCAGGUACACCUACAGACUGCAGCACGGAUUUCAUAUUUCAUUCAUUCACAACUCCUCCAACACGGACACCACUGUUCCCGCACUUAUAAGUAAAG